This 496-nucleotide ribosomal RNA is filed under the name uncultured bacterium. Its description in RNAcentral is "partial 16S ribosomal RNA". It matches the Rfam family "Bacterial small subunit ribosomal RNA", at positions 28 to 506 of the family's 1533-position model. The record is from RNAcentral.
GAUGAACGCUGGCGGCGUGCCUAAUACAUGCAAGUCGAGCGAACGGACGAGAAGCUUGCUUCUCUGAUGUUAGCGGCGGACGGGUGAGUAACACGUGGAUAACCUACCUAUAAGACUGGGAUAACUUCGGGAAACCGGAGCUAAUACCGGAUGAUAUUUUGAACCGCAUGGUUCAAAAGUGAAAGACGGUCUUGCUGUCACUUAUAGAUGGAUCCGCGCUGCAUUAGCUAGUUGGUAAGGUAACGGCUUACCAAGGCAACGAUGCAUAGCCGACCUGAGAGGGUGAUCGGCCACACUGGAACUGAGACACGGUCCAGACUCCUACGGGAGGCAGCAGUAGGGAAUCUUACGCAAUGGGCGAAAGCCUGACGGAGCAACGCCGCGUGAGUGAUGAAGGUCUUCGGAUCGUAAAACUCUGUUAUUAGGGAAGAACAUAUGUGUAAGUAACUGUGCACAUCUUGACGGUACCUAAUCAGAAAGCCACGGCUAACUACGU